This 115-nucleotide microRNA precursor is filed under the name Mustela putorius furo (domestic ferret). Its description in RNAcentral is "miRNA (ENSMPUG00000022102.1)". Lineage: Eukaryota; Metazoa; Chordata; Mammalia; Carnivora; Mustelidae. The record is from RNAcentral.
AACAUCCAAGAGAACUGAAACAUUUGUUGAAUGCUCUGUGUGUGUGUGUGUGUGUGUGUGUGUGUGUGUGUAUAUAUAUAUAUAUAUAUAUAUAUAUGUAUGAAUAAAUGUAUAC